This 1824-nucleotide ribosomal RNA is filed under the name Lachnospiraceae bacterium. RNAcentral's name for it is "partial 23S ribosomal RNA". It matches the Rfam family "Bacterial large subunit ribosomal RNA", at positions 1 to 1989 of the family's 2925-position model. Lineage: Bacteria; Bacillati; Bacillota; Clostridia; Lachnospirales; Lachnospiraceae. The record is from RNAcentral.
AAUCAAGCGAAUGGUAAGAGCAUUUAGUGGAUGCCUUGGCAAUCAGAGGCGAAGAAGGACGUGAUACACUGCGAAAAGCUACGGGGAGCUGUGAAUAGGCAUUGAUCCGUGGAUAUCCGAAUGGGGAAACCCGGCCAUUUAUGGUCACUUUCACACGAAUACAUAGUGUAGAAAGAGCGAACGCAGGGAACUGAAACAUCUAAGUACCUGCAGGAAAGGAAAUCAACCGAGACUCCGAAAGUAGUGGCGAGCGAAAUCGGACCAGCCGAUGGAUUGAUUAAUAAGAACUGGAACUACAUGGAAAGGUAGACGACAAAGGGUGAUAGUCCCGUACAGGUAGAAAGUUGAUUAAUUCUUGAGUAGGGCGGAGCACGAGGAAUUCUGUCUGAAAAUGGGGAGACCACUCUCCAAGGCUAAGUACUACUGAUUGACCGAUAGUGAACAAGUACCGUGAGGGAAAGGUGAAAAGCACCCCUAUAAGGGGAGUGAAAGAGAACCUGAAACUGAAUGCUUACAAGCAGUCGGAGGGAGCAUGACUCCUGACGGCGUACCUUUUGUAUAAUGGGUCAGCGACUUAGUGUAUGUAGCAAGCUUAAGCCGGUAGGUGUAGGCGUAGCGAAAGCGAGUUUUAAUAGAGCGAUAAGUUACAUGCAUUAGACCCGAAACCGAGUGAUCUAGCCAUGAUCAGGUUGAAGGUUGGGUAACACCAACUGGAGGACCGAACCCACGCCUGUUGAAAAAGUCGGGGAUGAAUUGUGGCUAGGGGUGAAAGGCCAAUCAAACUCGGAAAUAGCUGGUUCUCCGCGAAAACUAUUUAGGUAGUGCGGCAAACGGACACCAUAAGGGGUAGAGCACUGAAAGAACUAGGGGGGAGCGAUCCUUACCAAAUUCUAUCAAACUCCGAAUACUUAUGAGUGAUAUUUGCCAGACAGACUCUAGGUGCUAAGGUCUAGGGUCGAGAGGGAAAGAGCCCAGACCGUCAAUUAAGGUCCCAAAAUUAUGGCUAAGUGGUAAAGGAAGUGGAUUGUCCAAAACAGUCAGGAGGUUGGCUUAGAAGCAGCCAUCCUUUAAAGAAAGCGUAAUAGCUCACUGAUCUAAUUAAGACGAUUUGCGCCGAAGAUGUAACGGGGCUAAAGCCAUAUACCGAAAUUACGGAUUUGCAUGAAGAAUGCAAGUGGUAGCGGAGCGUUCUGUAGGCCUGUGAAGGUGUCUCGUAAGGGAUGCUGGAGGUAUCAGAAGUGAGAAUGCUGACAUGAGUAGCGAAAAGAAGAGUGAGAGACUCUUCCGCUGAAAGUCCAAGGUUUCCUGCGUAAAGCUAAUCUGCGCAGGGUUAGUCGGCCCCUAAGGCGAGGCAGAGAUGCGUAGUCGAUGGGAAGCAGGUUAAUAUUCCUGCACCGGCCUGGAAGUGACGGAUAGCAGAGAUUGUAACUGAUUAUUGGAUUUUGGUUGCAGUUGAGUUGUCCCAGGAAAUAGCCCAGGCUAAGACCGUACCCGAAACCGACACAGGUGGACUGGUAGAGAAUACCAAAGCGCUUGAGAGAACUAUGUUGAAGGAACUAGGCAAAAUACUUGCGUAACUUCGGGAUAAGCAAGCCCGGUUUUAAGGCAACUUAAGGCCGGGGGCACAUACUAGGGGGUAGCGACUGUUUACUAAAAACACAGGGCUCUGCUAAAUUGAAAGAUGAAGUAUAGGGUCUGACGCCUGCCCGGUGCUGGAAGGUUAAGGAGAGAUGUGAGAGCAUUGAACCGAAGCCCCAGUAAACGGCGGCCGUAACUAUAACGGUCCUAAGGUAGCGAAAUUCCUUGUCGGGUAAGUUCCGACCU